Molecule: ribosomal RNA, 435 nt
Filed under: uncultured bacterium
Lineage: Bacteria
Description: partial 16S ribosomal RNA
Rfam family: Bacterial small subunit ribosomal RNA
Source: RNAcentral
AGCGAACGCUGGCGGCAGGCCUAACACAUGCAAGUCGAGCGGGCAUCUUCGGAUGUCAGCGGCAGACGGGUGAGUAACACGUGGGAACGUACCCUUCGGUUCGGAACAACUCUGGGAAACUGGAGCUAAUACCGGAUACGCCCUUAUGGGGAAAGGUUUACUGCCGAAGGAUCGGCCCGCGUCUGAUUAGCUAGUUGGUGGGGUAACGGCGUACCAAGGCGACGAUCAGUAGCUGGUCUGAGAGGAUGAUCAGCCACACUGGGACUGAGACACGGCGCAGACUACUACGGGAGGCGGCAGUGGGGAAUAUUGGACAAUGGGCGCAAGCAUGAACCAGCCAGGCCGCGUGAGUGAUGAAGGCCUUAAGGUUGUAAAGCUCUUUUGUCCGGGACGAUAAUGACGGUACCGGAAGAAUAAGCCCCGGCUAACUUCGUG